Molecule: long non-coding RNA, 1345 nt
Organism: Patiria miniata (bat star)
Lineage: Eukaryota; Metazoa; Echinodermata; Asteroidea; Valvatida; Asterinidae
Exons: 2
Source: RefSeq, a predicted model, not a curated record
GGGAGCUUUUGAAUGCUGCGAAGAGAGAAGACGCCGGUUUUCAUCGAAGUUUUUGUUAAACCCUGGAAAUCAACGCCACAAUUAAUGCCCCUCCCCAGAAAGAACCGCACCGGCAGCAACCCCGUCAGUUCAGUCUUCAGCACACGACGCAACAAAGUCACCCAACCUACCGUAGACCUUCAGCACCGCAGGCAAUAUCGACACCUCGAACUCAUGAUGUGGUCAAUUCCACGCUGGUGUAACAAGCCAUUAAGCCUCAGGCAUGUGCACUGGCUCUUCAUGAGCCCAGUCUCUUAAACAUCUCACCCAUAGAUUGUGUCAGCUGAUGGUAUUGUACAAAUUGCAACAUGAUCAGAGAAAUAGUAGUGGCAAGUUACACUGAGUGAGAGGAGGUAGUGUGAAAUCACUGGUGCCAAGGUGGGCUGAUGUGGACUACCAUACCUCCUAACGUGGACAAGUAAUACACUACUUACCCGAAAUGAACCAUGUUGUAUUUGUUCUGUUACACCCAUACAUAAUUCAUUAGUUCCAUUGGAAGAAAUUCAUUGGAAUUCCAUGGAACAUCCCUCCCAUGAAAUGCGUAUAUACUGUCAUUCUUGAAGGUUGCAGUGUGGUACCACUAGCAACCCGACUUGCAUGUGCAAUUGUUGCAUAGCUCAGGGUUUCAGAGCUAAUUAUGGGGUACUUCUGUCCUGGUAGCACUGACUGGUUUACGUGCCUCAUGCGUGUGCCGUGUGUGCAGGGUAGCUGCUUUUGCUUCCCAGACAAACCUAUGCAAGUAUGAAUAAUGCUUUAAGCUUCACUUGUUGUUACUGUACUACCGCCUAUUGUCCAAAAGACUAGUCCAUGACCCAAAGUGCUAAAAGCACAGCAACUAAAGAACUACAUCACUGCAACUGGAGGUCUGUGUUGAUGUGGGUGCUCUUGCAGACCAUUUCUUGAUAGCGCAACACCAGUGUGAACAUUUUGUCAAGGGGAAGAUUGCAGAAGUGCAAUAACAAGUGAAUUUCAGUACACACAAAUUGAAUAAAUAUUGUCUUGCAUUAGGAGUAUAUAAUCAGCUGUCCGGUGUAUCUGUAGGUGAGGUGUUUAUACAAAGUAAAUAUUGACUGUUCUAACGUGUGGUACAGUAAAAAGAGUUUCACUUAGUGAUCCGUGGAGUGCUAUAUUUUCCCUCCACUCUUCCUUGAGAAUAUACUUACAAUAUGGUAUGGAUCACCUUGCAAUGGUAUCGUUUGAUUGUACCACUCAUUGCAGUCAAUAUUAGCAUACAUUGUACUUAAAAGGCAGUGGUGUAGUCAAGUACAUUUCCAUGAGUACGAAAUGUACUGGAGUAUGAGUAUGA